RNAcentral lists this long non-coding RNA (208 nucleotides) under Elaeis guineensis (African oil palm). RNAcentral describes it as "long non-coding RNA (EGUI_LNC024831)". The record is from RNAcentral. Lineage: Eukaryota; Viridiplantae; Streptophyta; Magnoliopsida; Arecales; Arecaceae.
UUGGAUUCAAGUCAUAAAAUUAUGAAUAUUUUGUAACUAUUUAAACUUCUAGACUUUUUUCAAACAAGUUAUUUUUUUACCUUAUCCAUUAAACAAAUCCCAAGAUAAAAUAAACAAUAUGUAUCAAAAAUUAAUUAUCUUGCUAUAUUAGACCUAAACAUUAUUGUUUUAGUGUUGUGGAUGGUAAGACCCGAGCAAGCUCAAUUUC